AGUGAACGCUGGCGGUAGGCCUAACACAUGCAAGUCGAACGGCAGCACAGUAAGAGCUUGCUCUUACGGGUGGCGAGUGGCGGACGGGUGAGGAAUACAUCGGAAUCUACUUUUUCGUGGGGGAUAACGUAGGGAAACUUACGCUAAUACCGCAUACGACCUACGGGUGAAAGCAGGGGAUCUUCGGACCUUGCGCGACUGAAUGAGCCGAUGUCGGAUUAGCUAGUUGGCGGGGUAAAGGCCCACCAAGGCGACGAUCCGUAGCUGGUCUGAGAGGAUGAUCCGCCACACUGGAACUGAGACACGGUCCAGACUCCUACGGGAGGCAGCAGUGGGGAAUAUUGGACAAUGGGCGCAAGCCUGAUCCAGCCAUACCGCGUGAGUGAAGAAGGCCUUCGGGUUGUAAAGCCCUUUUGUUGGGAAAGAAAAGCAGCAGGUUAAUCCCCCGCUGUUCUGACGGUACCCAAAGAAUAAGCACCGGCUAACUUCGUG
This 492-nucleotide ribosomal RNA is filed under the name uncultured bacterium. RNAcentral describes it as "partial 16S ribosomal RNA". It matches the Rfam family "Bacterial small subunit ribosomal RNA", at positions 29 to 507 of the family's 1533-position model. The record is from RNAcentral.